UGACUGAAGUCAGAAUGUCUUUUGCUUAGACUAGGCAUGGACAAUUUGGAUUGAGUUCAACAAACAAUGGAAGCUUAUCCUCAUGUCAUCCUUGACAACUUCAGUAGAACAAAAUUCAUCCUAAUCUAAAUUUGUUUGGAUUUUGUAGCAUUUAUUAUCAAUGUAUAGAAAAGAAGUGAAAAUCACGUGUUGUUCUUUUUUGCAGCUCUGCUGAUCUCUUAAAACCAGAAGUAGAACUUAAAGGAAAGGAGUGUGCAAUCGUUCGCCAAAGGCAAUUGUGUCUGCACAAAUUACCCUGAGAUAUCCUAGAUGAUAUACCCAGCCAUGGAAUGUCAGAACUGAGCUAUGGACUUUUGAAAUAAGCAUGUUACUUGGUAGAAAAGAUGAAUCUUUCUGGUAUUCUCAAGGUUGAAACUGCACAAGAUGCUCCUAAGUUUGGUGGUGGUUAUGCUGAUUGUGGAGAUUGUGGACCUGGUGCAACAAAGAGGUUUACCUGAUGCAGUCACAGGCAUCCGCUGCAAUUACAUGAUAACAUAGGUACUGUCAUAGUAGCUGUCUCAGAGUCUCAUUCGUAGGCAGGUGAUUACAGAAAAUCUUCCUCAGGCAUGUUUGAAAAAAAUUGGAUUUUAUUCUAAUGGAAACUUGAUAUGAGCCAGUUAAAUUAUAGGUUUCUUUAUGGCAAUGGGUUCAGAAGAAGAUGAAAUACGAUCUUCACAAUAUUGGUGGUGCUCUACGCAGUAUGAAGAGGAAGGAACAUCUGUUAACUGAACCGGAUUCUACAUAUUUCCCAGUUUUGAUUGUUGGUUUGACAUUACUUCCUGGGCACUUAGGUUUUGUAUGGAAGCACAUUCAGUUCACUUGAUUAAUACAUGCAUGAUAGAUGCACAUGCUAUCUGUACAACUCAUGUCAUCAAGAGUGGUGUAUUUAUGGAAGAUUCACCCAAAUAGUUGAUGUGGAUGAAGAUCUAAUACAACGAGAUCCAACGAUGUUGUUGCCUAUGAAGCCAAUAAUUGGCAAGAACAAGGCUUUGCAGUAUAUUCAGUUGGACCUCUGGUCUCCUAGAUCUUACACAUGAACAUUUUUGCAAGAGAAUUCAGUUCAGCUCAAGCCUAAGGUGGGCAUACGAACGUGAAUACUUAAAGAAUAUGAUCAUUAUAGUGUCAAACAUCGUGUUGUGAAUACAAAUAUGACUACAGCGUUGUAUCACUAACUCGAUGUUGUGGAUGGAGAUGGAAGAGGAUCUAUUGGUUUUGCUGCUGCUGAAGGAAGAGUUGAUGUUUGUAGAUACUUGCUUGAAGAGUUGGAUCUUUGUUUAUGAUGACGUUGUCUUUAACUCCUCCUGGAGCCAGAAAUUGCAUCAACUUCAUAACAGUUGGUUUUUGCAUUCGAUGAGCUACAAAAUUGUAUAAAUGAGUAAUCCAAUACUAUGAUUUACCGACA
Papaver somniferum (opium poppy) is the source of this 1441-nucleotide long non-coding RNA. RefSeq lists it as uncharacterized. The transcript has 4 exons. The record is from RefSeq and is a predicted model, not a curated record. NCBI's taxonomy places the organism in Eukaryota, Viridiplantae, Streptophyta, Magnoliopsida, Ranunculales, Papaveraceae.